UACGGAAGGCAGCAGUGGGGAAUAUUGCACAAUGGGCGCAAGCCUGAUGCAGCCAUGCCGCGUGUAUGAAGAAGGCCUUCGGGUUGUAAAGUACUUUCAGUCGUGAGGAAGGUGUUAAGGUUAAUAACCUUAGCAAUUGACGUUAGCGACAGAAGAAGCACCGGCUAACUCCAUGCCAGCAGCCGCGGUAAUACGGAGGGUGCGAGCGUUAAUCGGAAUUACUGGGCGUAAAGGGCACGCAGGCGGUUAAUUAAGUUGGAUGUGAAAUCCCCGGGCUUAACCUGGGAAUGGCAUUCAAGACUGGUUAGCUAGAGUCUUGUAGAGGGGGUAGAAUUCCAUGUGUAGCGGUGAAAUGCGUAGAGAUGUGGAGGAAUACCGGUGGCGAAGGCGGCCCCUGGGACAAAGGACUGACGCUCAUGUGCGAAAGCGUGGGGAGCAAACGAGGAUUAGAUACC
This 455-nucleotide ribosomal RNA is filed under the name uncultured bacterium. RNAcentral describes it as "bacterial SSU rRNA". It matches the Rfam family "Bacterial small subunit ribosomal RNA", at positions 340 to 786 of the family's 1533-position model. The record is from RNAcentral.